UGGCGGGUUUUCGUGGACUGCCUAUUAGAGGGGCACGGUAAACCCAGUUAUAUAGUUACUUCGGUAGUAGAGGCGAGGAGGGUAACUCCCAGGGUAGUGUUAGAGUUCACUUCACGUCGAACCCCCAUGUGAAUGUGUAACUCGGCCAACGUCAAGGAACGGCUUGUUUUCAAAACUAACAUGUGUUUAACAUGUAAAUAUCUUAACAACCUUGGCGGACUCGGUUAGAUGCCUCAGCCAAGGUAUCCCCGAGGAUUAGUUUUGGCUUAAGCCUUGUUUUUAAUAAAAGUUAGAAGCCUUAACAACUGUUUUGGUAAAUUACAAAUAUUUUACGGUUUAAGAAAUAAAUUGAAAACCUUAUGAAAUGGUUUGUAAUUUGUUGUUUAAAUUUG
Molecule: long non-coding RNA, 392 nt
Filed under: Theobroma cacao (cacao)
Lineage: Eukaryota; Viridiplantae; Streptophyta; Magnoliopsida; Malvales; Malvaceae
Description: long non-coding RNA (TCAC_LNC002977)
Source: RNAcentral